Macaca fascicularis (crab-eating macaque) is the source of this 1823-nucleotide long non-coding RNA. The record is from Ensembl. NCBI's taxonomy places the organism in Eukaryota, Metazoa, Chordata, Mammalia, Primates, Cercopithecidae.
UUUUUUUUUUUUUUUUUUUCCCUUCCCUGAUCAGCUUGGGAUUACAAGGUCAAUACAGUAAUUUUAGCACUUUUACCUGCAUCCUCAAUACUCUUGACCCAUUAUUGCUCUGCUCCUCCUGGUCAGUUUAUCUCUGAUUUUGGAUUAAUCCAGUCUUAUCUUUUUGCUCCCAAGGAGAUAAGCACCACACAAUACUGAAUAUACUGAUUAUCUUUGUUAAAAUUAGUGGUUUUCAGCCUCUGCUGAUACUUUAUCAAUGCUAGGCAAGUUUAUAACUUGUCCAUGGUCAGCUCCAUUUUCUCCAAAUCUGCAGGGUCUGAUGAAAAAGCCUUAUCAUACCUCCUAAAUUCCUCAUCUUAUUCUCUCCUGAAUAUCACUUUGUUACUUUGCAAAGUCAUGAUCAGACACUAACUUCUUCAGUUUUCAUGUUGACUAAUGGUCUGUAUUAAAUCCAAGGCAAUUUCCAGCAACUUUUGCUUGGUUCUCAUCCUUCUUUUUCUUGGCUCAUUUCAUUCCAGGCAUCCUUGGUUUUCUACUUAGUUUCUGUUCCUAACAAAUAUGGCACUUGAACUUGGCAGCAGAUUCCUGUGUCCUGAUUUUUGUCCCUUGGCACAAAUUAUUCUCUAGGAUUUGAAUAAACCUGGAAUGUCCUAAUCCUGAAAGGCUACAGGGUUCAACUCUUGGACACCUUUUUUUCUCUAUUGGUGAUCUCAUCUAAUCUUAUGGCUUUAAAUAUGCCUUCCAUAUGUCGAUGACUCCCAAUUUUAUUUUAGUCAGAUCUCUCCUCUGAACUGUGGACCUCUAUAACUACUCAAAAAUCCCAAUUUGAAUAUCAUGUGCUAUCUUAAACUUAACAUGUUCAAAAUCAAGCUAACGAGAACAUUUUUGGAAGUGAUGGAUAUAGUCAUUAUCUUGUUAAUGGUUUCAUGAGUGUAUUCCUAUGAAAAAAACUCAUCAAAUUGCAUACUUUUAAAAUGUACACAUUUUUGUAUAUCAGUUAUAUCCACUACAGGAGGUAAGGACAAAACAAUUUCCUGAUCUCAGUGAAGUGAUGCACAUUUGCAAAUUAUCCCCUUCAAAUGACAGAUCUUUUGCAUAUUCUGAAGUGCCUUUUCCAUUGCUCGUUUGAAGAGAACUAUAAUAAAUGAAGUAACAAGAAAAGAUAAAGUUCUCAAAUAGGUUGGACUGGACUGUACUUGAUUUGGGAUUCUGAUUAAACCCUCAUAACUCUGAUAAACUCAGCUACAUGGCAUGCUGAGACCUCAGCAGUAGGGAGACCAGGACUCAUCAGAGUAAGACAAGGAGUCUAGUUCUCAUACUGAAAAGGUAUCCUCUUCUGCCCCAAGAUGGUCUCUAAUGAUGUUAUUCUACAGGGUGGAAUAAGAUCAGAGGGAGUGGUAAUAUGCAGUUAAGUCAUGCAUAUUAAUAUAUACCUAUAACAAAGUACUAUGUUAUAAGUAUUGUUUGGAUCCAGAACCAAGUUUUUGGAAAGGUAGGGAGGGUCCUACUCCCAGAAAAGGACUAGCAAAAGAUAAGCAGUUUAUUCUAGUAGGCUGAAAUUCAAAGAAAGGCUCUAAUCCCAACUGGGGAACUAUUACAAAAACCAUGAAAACAGCUAAAAGCUCUUUCAUACACACUGGGCAGUGAGGAUUGAUGUGUUAGUUCACAGGACACUUGACUGGGGAGCCAAGCACAGUGGAUAUUGGGUUUCCGGCAAUAGAACUAAUUUUAGAAAGCACCAAAUGGUAGGUUUGAGCUUACUAUAUUUUAAGAUUACCUGGAAGCCUGGUGUAAGGCAGAAGGAAAAUUCCUGUUGGCUGAAG